RNAcentral lists this ribosomal RNA (253 nucleotides) under uncultured bacterium. RNAcentral describes it as "partial 16S ribosomal RNA". It matches the Rfam family "Bacterial small subunit ribosomal RNA", at positions 524 to 776 of the family's 1533-position model. The record is from RNAcentral.
GACAGAGGGUGCAAGCGUUGUUCGGAAUUACUGGGCGUAAAGGGCGCGUAGGCGGUCUAUUAAGUUCGGUGUGAAAUCCCCCGGCUCAACUGGGGAACUGCGCCGAAAACUGGCAGACUAGAGUACCGGAGAGGAGGGUGGAAUUCCUGGUGUAGCGGUGGAAUGCGUAGAUAUCAGGAGGAACACCGGUGGCGAAGGCGGCCCUCUGGACGAGUACUGACGCUGAGGCGCGAAAGCGUGGGGAUCAAACAGG